GAGGCCUUGGCUUAAUUAGAGUGUCUGAGUUGCAUUCAGGAGAUGUAAGGUAGAGUCUUACAGGUCUUA
RNAcentral lists this transfer RNA (69 nucleotides) under Trionyx triunguis (African softshell turtle). Its description in RNAcentral is "tRNA-Ala". It matches the Rfam family "tRNA". From Rfam's summary of the family: Transfer RNA (tRNA) molecules are approximately 80 nucleotides in length. Their secondary structure includes four short double-helical elements and three loops (D, anti-codon, and T loops). The record is from RNAcentral. Lineage: Eukaryota; Metazoa; Chordata; Testudines; Trionychidae.